UCUUAUUAGAAUCCCCAAUUGAGUCCUUAUAAGUUUUUGCACAGGUAGAAGAUUGAUGUGUCAAAUUUUUAAGACAUGGCAUGGUUUAGGCCUGCGUGGAAUUUUGGUAAAAUGUAAUAAUAUAAUAUUAGGAUUUCUGAAAUGGGAUUUAGGGUUCAAUCAAAUUGAAUGGGAUUAAAAAUCUGAGAAGUGGUUGUAGAUCAGACGAAGGGAUGGAGAUUAAGUGGUGGUAGAUCUGAGAAGUGGUUGUUGAUCAAAUCCACCCCAAUUGCAUUUCAGAAAAUUGGGGAAAAUUGUUCCUGCUUCUACGCCGCGAAUGGGAGAUGGUGCACUACCGCGACGUUUCGAAAUCUCUGGAGGAGG
RNAcentral lists this small RNA (363 nucleotides) under Vigna angularis var. angularis. RNAcentral's name for it is "Non-protein coding transcript". Lineage: Eukaryota; Viridiplantae; Streptophyta; Magnoliopsida; Fabales; Fabaceae. The record is from RNAcentral.